UCGAGGGGCAGCACAGGUAGCAAUACCGGGUGGCGACCGGCGCACGGGUGAGUAACGCGUAUGCAACUUGCCUAUCAGAGGGGGAUAACCCGGCGAAAGUCGGACUAAUACCGCAUGAAGCAGGGAUCCCGCAUGGGGAUAUUUGCUAAAGAUUCAUCGCUGAUAGAUAGGCAUGCGUUCCAUUAGGCAGUUGGCGGGGUAACGGCCCACCAAACCGACGAUGGAUAGGGGUUCUGAGAGGAAGGUCCCCCACAUUGGUACUGAGACACGGACCAAACUCCUACGGGAGGCAGCAGUGAGGAAUAUUGGUCAAUGGGCGUAAGCCUGAACCAGCCAAGUCGCGUGAGGGAUGAAGGUUCUAUGGAUCGUAAACCUCUUUUAUAAGGGAAUAAAGUGCGGGACGUGUCCCGUUUUGUAUGUACCUUAUGAAUAAGGAUCGGCUAACUCCGUGCCAGCAGCCGCGGUAAUACGGAGGAUCCGAGCGUUAUCCGGAUUUAUUGGGUUUAAAGGGUGCGUAGGCGGCCUUUUAAGUCAGCGGUGAAAGUCUGUGGCUCAACCAUAGAAUUGCCGUUGAAACUGGGGGGCUUGAGUAUGUUUGAGGCAGGCGGAAUGCGUGGUGUAGCGGUGAAAUGCAUAGAUAUCACGCAGAACCCCGAUUGCGAAGGCAGCCUGCCAAGCCAUUACUGACGCU
RNAcentral lists this ribosomal RNA (691 nucleotides) under uncultured bacterium. Its description in RNAcentral is "bacterial SSU rRNA". It matches the Rfam family "Bacterial small subunit ribosomal RNA", at positions 62 to 747 of the family's 1533-position model. The record is from RNAcentral.